AGUGAACGCUGGCGGCAGGCCUAACACAUGCAAGUCGAGCGGCAGCGCGUCCGACCACCCUCGGGUGGUCGGAUGGCGGCGAGCGGCGGACGGGUGAGGAAUGCAUCGGAAUCUGCCUCGUUGUGGGGGAUAACGUAGGGAAACUUACGCUAAUACCGCAUACGACCUACGGGUGAAAGUGGGGGACCUUCGGGCCUCACGCGAUGAGAUGAGCCGAUGCCGGAUUAGCUAGUUGGCGGGGUAAAGGCCCACCAAGGCGACGAUCCGUAGCUGGUCUGAGAGGAUGAUCAGCCACACUGGAACUGAGACACGGUCCAGACUCCUACGGGAGGCAGCAGUGGGGAAUAUUGGACAAUGGGGGCAACCCUGAUCCAGCCAUGCCGCGUGUGUGA
This 392-nucleotide ribosomal RNA is filed under the name uncultured bacterium. RNAcentral's name for it is "bacterial SSU rRNA". It matches the Rfam family "Bacterial small subunit ribosomal RNA", at positions 30 to 408 of the family's 1533-position model. The record is from RNAcentral.